This 332-nucleotide unclassified non-coding RNA is filed under the name soil metagenome. Its description in RNAcentral is "partial contains 5.8S ribosomal RNA, internal transcribed spacer 2, and large subunit ribosomal RNA". The stretch from base 1 to 120 matches the Rfam family "5.8S ribosomal RNA", at positions 35 to 154 of the family's 154-position model. The record is from RNAcentral.
GAUGAAGAACGCAGCGAAAUGCGAUAAGUAGUGUGAAUUGCAGAAUUCAGUGAAUCAUCGAAUCUUUGAACGCACAUUGCGCCCUUUGGUAUUCCUUAGGGCAUGCCUGUUCGAGCGUCAUUUAAACCUUCAAGCUAAGCUUGGUGUUGGGUGACUGUCCGCUUCACGGCGGACUCGCCUCAAAAUUAUUGGCGGCCGGUACAUUGGCUUCGAGCGCAGCAGAAACGCGAACUCGGGCCCGUCGUAUUGGCUCCCAGAGGCUAUCUUCACAAUUUUGACCUCGGAUCAGGUAGGGAUACCCGCUGAACUUAAGCAUAUCAAUAAGCGGAGGA